CAGCAGUCGCCGCGGGAAUACGAAGGGUGCAAGCGUUAAUCGGAAUUACUGGGCGUAAAGCGUGCGUAGGCGGUGAGUUAAGUCUGCUGUGAAAUCCCCGGGCUCAACCUGGGAAUGGCAGUGGAUACUGGCUCGCUAGAGUAUGUCAGAGGAUGGUGGAAUUCCCGGUGUAGCGGUGAAAUGCGUAGAGAUCAGGAGGAACAUCAGUGGCGAAGGCGGCCAUCUGGGACAACACUGACGCUGAGGCACGAAAGCGUGGGGAGCAAACAGGAUUAGAUACCCGGGUAGUCCCUGUCUCUUAUAA
Molecule: ribosomal RNA, 304 nt
Filed under: uncultured bacterium
Lineage: Bacteria
Description: partial 16S ribosomal RNA
Rfam family: Bacterial small subunit ribosomal RNA
Source: RNAcentral